Molecule: microRNA precursor, 117 nt
Filed under: Oryza sativa Indica Group (long-grained rice)
Lineage: Eukaryota; Viridiplantae; Streptophyta; Magnoliopsida; Poales; Poaceae
Description: mir-166 microRNA precursor
Source: RNAcentral
UUAUAGAAAAAUUUAGCAACAUCUACAAAACCAAAUUAGUUUUAUAAUAACUAGUAUCUAAUAUAUUCUGAUAGUAUGUUUGUUUUGUGUUGAAAAUAUUGCUGUAUUUUUCUAUAA